ACAAUGAAGAGUAAUAUGUAUCAUAGGAUAUCCUUAAUACAACAGUUUAAAAUAGCAACAUCUUAUCCAAAAGGGAGGUCACUAUUUGCCUUUUGCAUUCUGGGUACUAUGUUAGCUUUCCACCUUUUCAUUAAUUUGAAACCUAACAUAGCAUUGAGAUAAAAUUAGUUGAUCAGAAUGGUUAGUGAACACUGCAACAAUUUUCUAUAAUUUUAUUUGUAAGUUCUAAAUAUUAGAGCUAUUCUCAUGUAUAGUUCCGUAAGUAUAAAGAAAAUGUUAUUCUAGUCUCACGAAAUAUUGAAAACCAUAGAGUAAUGUGCUAAGAAUAAUCUUACAUUAAAAUUUUCGUUAGUUAAAUACAAUUUGAGGGAACCACAACAGAACAUAUAUCAAACAUCCGUAUGUAAUGUAGAUAUUGAGGGAAGGAAAAUGGAGAAUCACAUCUUAUCUUGAUUCCACUGGAAUAUGAAAUAUAAACUAAUGAAGGUUAAACUCUAACAAACUAAGGAUGUCCACAUAAUAUUAGAAAGCCUCAAAACAUGUUCUUGUGCUAUUUUAUAACAAAAAAAUAAACUUGUUUACGGAAUACUUCCGUCAUGCUUCACUUUUUGACAGUAUAUCCCCUUUUGACACAUAAUAAGACUAUUUGGUUUUCAAUUUCAACCUAGAACUCAUUUAUCAGUAAUAAAUAUAUGUUGUCUUUGAAAGAUGAUCAAAAUUCCCACAAAUCGAGAUAUAAAAAAUAUAGAUAUGCCUAUCGAAACUCGAAAAAUGGAAAAACUUCUGAAUAAAACCAUUAAAUCUUUGCAUUAAUAAAUAAAAAUAAUGAGCUAUACAAACAAUUGCCACACAGUCUACUCUCACAGAUUGAAUAACAGUAGCUCAAAAAAGAUGGGAGAGUCUCAUACUACACCAUUACAGUGGCUCCAAACUCAUUAUUUUGAAAAAACGAUGUAUCAAAAUAAGAUCUACUUGCGAGAAAAUUGAAUUAACAUAUUUUAUUACACAAGGAGUUUCAUAGUUUUGCGCUUAGAUGAGGCAUUCGUAUAUGAGUUCUUUCUCCGUUAUUUGGACGAUCAAAAUAUAAGAAGUUGUUCAGUAAAUAAUUUUGAAAAAAUAAAAGAGAUAGAAAUAUGUAUCACAAGAUUAAAUUCAGUGUGUCUUUCCUUUGUGAAUCGCCAAAGACACUCUUAACAGUUCUUUAACACGGUUAAGUUUGGUACUACCUCCUUUAUGCAGCAUUAAAAGAUUUCUCCAAGUAGUUAAAAUUUUGUUAGUCAAAUUGCCAUUUUGCAUAAAAUCUACACUUUUCAAACCAUACUUUGUGGGAUUAUAAUGGAUAUGUUGUUGUUGUUGACUGCGAAAGUUAAAAGUUGCAUUUUGAAAGCCUCUUAUGUUAAACAACGGAUAAUGUACAUAUAAACGAAAGUUAACAAACAACAAAUAUACAAACGUUCAUCAUCCAACACUUAUUAUGAAUCACCUGAAAAUAGUCAUUAAUUAUCAUAUGAAGAAGACUACCAAAAAAAUUUUGAGAUGUAGAUCAUUCACUUGUACAUAUUUGAGAUUUACCUCGGUCAUCAUAUUAUCUAAUUUGUAGUUUAUUUAUAAAAUCCAUUUGAUAGGGAUUUAAUUAGGUGAGUUCUUCGUUCUUUGAAAUCUUUAAAUUAAGCCAAUAGAAGUGUUUGGGGAUGAGGCAUCUUCACUAUCUCUUCUCUAUUGCUCGUUGGAAUUGAUUAAAUCUACGGAAUCCAAAGAGAACAAAGAAUGAUUUCAAAUUUGAACAGUAUGAAAAAAGUAGGAAAAAUAUUUAACAAUAUAUUACUGCAAAUUUGAUCAUGUCUUGUCACUGAAACACAUUGUAACCUGAAAUCAAACAUAUACAGAGUAAAGAACAGAAUUAGGAACAUCAAAAAUUCAUUUCUUACCUCAUAAUCUAGCCAUUAAUUGUGAGUCCUCACUGAAAUUCGAGUAAAUCACAUCCUAAUAAUAACUUGAUCUGUGAGUCAUCACUAAAAUUCAAGUAAACCACAUCCUAAUAACAACUUGAUCUGGUUGAAUCCGAAAGUAUCAGAAGCCGAACAGUGAUUUACGUAGACAUGGUGAAUUCAUCGACAUUUUUUUUUUUUGGAAAACAUUAAAGUGGAAAAGGAAGUUAAAAGGGAGUUAUUUUAGGAGUUGGUAACUUGUCAAUUUGAAAAAUUUAAAGUGGAUAGACAUUACUAAAACUACCAAAAAAUUACAAUAUUUUGAUAUAUCAGUUACCACAAAUAUUUAUUUUCUGAUUUU
Molecule: long non-coding RNA, 2289 nt
Filed under: Capsicum annuum
Lineage: Eukaryota; Viridiplantae; Streptophyta; Magnoliopsida; Solanales; Solanaceae
Description: long non-coding RNA (CANN_LNC007345)
Source: RNAcentral